AGAGUUUGAUCAUGGCUCAGGACGAACGCUGGCGGCACGCUUAACACAUGCAAGUCGAACGAGAGAAGAGGAGCUUGCUUUUCUGAUCUAGUGGCGGACGGGUGAGUAACACGUGAGCAAUCUGCCUUUCAGAGGGGGAUACCGAUUGGAAACGAUCGUUAAUACCGCAUAACAUAAUUGAACCGCAUGAUUUGAUUAUCAAAGAUUUAUCGCUGAAAGAUGAGCUCGCGUCUGAUUAGCUAGUUGGUAAGGUAACGGCUUACCAAGGCGACGAUCAGUAGCCGGACUGAGAGGUUGAUCGGCCACAUUGGGACUGAGACACGGCCCAGACUCCUACGGGAGGCAGCAGUGGGGAAUAUUGCACAAUGGAGGAAACUCUGAUGCAGCGAUGCCGCGUGAGGGAAGAAGGUUUUAGGAUUGUAAACCUCUGUCUUCAGGGACGAAAAAAGACGGUACCUGAGGAGGAAGCUCCGGCUAACUACGUGCCAGCAGCCGCGGUAAUACGUAGGGAGCGAGCGUUGUCCGGAAUUACUGGGUGUAAAGGGAGCGUAGGCGGGAUCGCAAGUCAGAUGUGAAAACUAUGGGCUUAACCCAUAAACUGCAUUUGAAACUGUGGUUCUUGAGUGAAGUAGAGGUAAGCGGAAUUCCUAGUGUAGCGGUGAAAUGCGUAGAUAUUAGGAGGAACAUCAGUGGCGAAGGCGGCUUACUGGGCUUUAACUGACGCUGAGGCUCGAAAGCGUGGGGAGCAAACAGGAUUAGAUACCCUGGUAGUCCACGCCGUAAACGAUGAUUACUAGGCGUGGGGGGACUGACCCCUUCCGUGCCGCAGCAAACGCAAUAAGUAAUCCACCUGGGGAGUACGACCGCAAGGUUGAAACUCAAAGGAAUUGACGGGGGCCCGCACAAGCAGUGGAGUAUGUGGAUUAAUUCGAAGCAACGCGAAGAACCUUACCAGGUCUUGACAUCGUAUGCAUAGCUCAGAGAUGAGUGAAAUCUCUUCGGAGACAUAUAGACAGGUGGUGCAUGGUUGUCGUCAGCUCGUGUCGUGAGAUGUUGGGUUAAGUCCCGCAACGAGCGCAACCCUUACUGUUAGUUGCUACGCAAGAGCACUCUAGCAGGACUGCCGUUGACAAAACGGAGGAAGGUGGGGAUGACGUCAAAUCAUCAUGCCCCUUAUGACCUGGGCCUCACACGUACUACAAUGGCUGUCAACAGAGGGAAGCAAAGCCGCGAGGUGGAGCGAACCCCUAAAAGCAGUCUUAGUUCGGAUUGUAGGCUGCAACCCGCCUACAUGAAGUCGGAAUUGCUAGUAAUCGCAGAUCAGCAUGCUGCGGUGAAUACGUUCCCGGGCCUUGUACACACCGCCCGUCACGCCAUGGGAGUCGGUAACACCCGAAGCCUGUAGUCUAACCGCAAGGAGGACGCAGUCGAAGGUGGGAUUGAUGACUGGGGUGAAGUCGUAACAAGGUA
Molecule: ribosomal RNA, 1470 nt
Filed under: metagenome
Description: bacterial SSU rRNA
Rfam family: Bacterial small subunit ribosomal RNA
Source: RNAcentral